GACGAACGCUGGCGGCGUGCUUAACACAUGCAAGUCGAACGGAAAGGCCCUGCUUUUGUGGGGUGCUCGAGUGGCGAACGGGUGAGUAACACGUGAGUAACCUGCCCUUGACUUUGGGAUAACUUCAGGAAACUGGGGCUAAUACCGGAUAGGAGCUCUUGCUCCAUGGUGGGGGUUGGAAAGUUUCGGCGGUUGGGGAUGGACUAGCGGCUUAUCAGCUGGUUGGUGGGGUAGUGGCUUACCAGGGCUUUGACGGGUAGCCGGCCUGGGAGGCUGACCGGCCACAUUGCGACUGAGCUACGGCCCAGACUCCUACGGGAGGCAGCAGUGGAGAAUAUUGCACAAUGGGCGGAAGCCUGAUGCAGCAACGCCGCGUGCGGGAUGACGGCCUUCGGGUUGUAAACCGCUUUCGCCUGUGACGAAGCGUGAGUGACGGUAAUGGGUAAAGAAGCACCGGCUAACUACGUG
RNAcentral lists this ribosomal RNA (468 nucleotides) under uncultured bacterium. Its description in RNAcentral is "partial 16S ribosomal RNA". It matches the Rfam family "Bacterial small subunit ribosomal RNA", at positions 28 to 507 of the family's 1533-position model. The record is from RNAcentral.